This 407-nucleotide ribosomal RNA is filed under the name uncultured bacterium. RNAcentral describes it as "bacterial SSU rRNA". It matches the Rfam family "Bacterial small subunit ribosomal RNA", at positions 355 to 776 of the family's 1533-position model. The record is from RNAcentral.
UGGGGAAUUUUGCGCAAUGGGGGAAACCCUGACGCAGCGACACCGCGUGAGCGAAGAAGCCUUUUGGGGUGUAAAGCUCUGUCGGCUGGGAAGAAAAAAAUGACUGUACCAGCAGAGGAAGCAUCGGCUAACUACGUGCCAGCAGCCGCGGUAAGACGUAGGAUGCAAGCGUUGUCCGGAUUUAUUGGGCGUAAAGAGUUCGUAGGCGGUUUUUUAAGUCUGGAGUUAAAGAUCAAGGCUCAACCUUGGGACUGCUUUGGAUACUGAAAGACUAGAGUGCAGUAGGGGCAAGUGGAAUUUCCAGUGUAGCGGUGAAAUGCGUAGAUACUGGAAAGAACACCAGUGGCGUAGGCGGCUUGCUGGGCUGUAACUGACGCUGAGGAACGAAAGCUAGGGGAGCAAAUGGG